RNAcentral lists this long non-coding RNA (561 nucleotides) under Brassica napus (rape). RNAcentral describes it as "long non-coding RNA (BNAP_LNC002674)". The record is from RNAcentral. Lineage: Eukaryota; Viridiplantae; Streptophyta; Magnoliopsida; Brassicales; Brassicaceae.
AGUUAAUCAUCUAUGUUCCAUGUGCAAAAAAAUAAAAAAAACAUAGAAAAACGUAUUUUCCUCCGAUAUGGCUACAUAAACUGUUAUAUUGUUUUUUUUAUUUACUGUUACAUGUAAAUCGAUAGAUUCCACAUUUCACAGAGUUAAAUUAUUUAGUUAAAAUAUUAUAUUUUCAAUAUUUUGAGCCAAACCCCUAUAUCACAUAACAUUCUACAAUUUGACCCACAUGUAUGCAUACGAUAUGUACCACCACAUCAACACGUUACGGGAGCAUAAAGAAAAAAAAUUUAACAUCGAAUGAGAAUAAAAGAGGUUAUGCUAAGAAAACAAUAUCAAACCUUUUUACCAAAAAAAAAACAAUAUCAAACCUUGUCAAAAAAAAAAGAGAACAAUAUCAAACCUAAUUCCAAUUCUUAACGAUGAAAAGUCAGGAGUUGUUUGGUAUACUUCCAAUAAUUAUGCACUCACUACUCUUAAACCUUUUCACAUAACCAGGCAUGUCUAUAUCUAUCCAUGUAUGAUUUUGUAUAUUAUAUUAUUUAUUACUUGCCUUUCUAAUUU